This 253-nucleotide ribosomal RNA is filed under the name uncultured bacterium. RNAcentral describes it as "partial 16S ribosomal RNA". It matches the Rfam family "Bacterial small subunit ribosomal RNA", at positions 524 to 776 of the family's 1533-position model. The record is from RNAcentral.
UACGGAGGGUGCAAGCGUUAUCCGGAUUCACUGGGUUUAAAGGGUGCGUAGGAGGGCAGGUAAGUCAGUGGUGAAAUCUCCGAGCUUAACUUGGAAACUGCCGUUGAUACUAUCUGUCUUGAAUAUUGUGGAGGUGAGCGGAAUAUGUCAUGUAGCGGUGAAAUGCUUAGAUAUGACAUAGAACACCCAUUGCGAAGGCAGCUCACUACGCAUAUAUUGACGCUGAUGCACGAAAGCGUGGGGAUCAAACAGG